This 497-nucleotide ribosomal RNA is filed under the name uncultured bacterium. Its description in RNAcentral is "partial 16S ribosomal RNA". It matches the Rfam family "Bacterial small subunit ribosomal RNA", at positions 28 to 507 of the family's 1533-position model. The record is from RNAcentral.
GAUGAACGCUGGCGGCGUGCCUAAUACAUGCAAGUCGAGCGAACAGACGAGGAGCUUGCUCCUCUGACGUUAGCGGCGGACGGGUGAGUAACACGUGGAUAACCUACCUAUAAGACUGGGAUAACUUCGGGAAACCGGAGCUAAUACCGGAUAACAUGUUGAACCGCAUGGUUCAACAGUGAAAGACGGUCUUGCUGUCACUUAUAGAUGGAUCCGCGCCGCAUUAGCUAGUUGGUAAGGUAACGGCUUACCAAGGCAACGAUGCGUAGCCGACCUGAGAGGGUGAUCGGCCACACGGGAACUGAGACACGGUCCAGACUCCUACGGGAGGCAGCAGUAGGGAAUCUUCCGCAAUGGGCGAAAGCCUGACGGAGCAACGCCGCGUGAGUGAAGAAGGUCUUCGGAUCGUAAAACUCUGUUAUUAGGGAAGAACAAAUGUGUAAGUAACUAUGCACGUCUUGACGGUACCUAAUCAGAAAGCCACGGCUAACUACGUG